The sequence is a regulatory RNA element, 35 nucleotides long. It matches the Rfam family "DUF805b RNA". Rfam says of the family: Bacteroidetes, Chlorobi (1 example), Proteobacteria. Lineage (Flavobacteria) The record is from Rfam.
ACCGAGUACGCCGAAAAUCGGAAACAGAGUAGGUA